GUAGGUGGCAAGCGUUGUCCGGGAAUUAUUGGGGCGUAAAGCGCGCGCAGGCGGUUCUCUAAGUCUGAUGUGAAAGCCCACGGGCUCAACCGUGGAGGGUCAUUGGAAACUGGAGAACUUGAGUACAGAAGAGGAAAGCGGAAUUCCACGUGUAGCGGUGAAAUGCGUAGAGAUGUGGAGGAACACCAGUGGCGAAGGCGGCUUUCUGGUCUGUAACUGACGCUGAGGCGCGAAAGCGUGGGGAGCAAACAGGAUUAGAUACCCUGGUAGUCCACGCCGUAAACGAUGAGUGCUAAGUGUUAGGGGGUUUCCGCCCCUUAGUGCUGCAGCUAACGCAUUAAGCACUCCGCCUGGGGAGUACGGCCGCAAGGCUG
Molecule: ribosomal RNA, 374 nt
Filed under: uncultured organism
Description: partial 16S ribosomal RNA
Rfam family: Bacterial small subunit ribosomal RNA
Source: RNAcentral